Molecule: ribosomal RNA, 518 nt
Filed under: uncultured bacterium
Lineage: Bacteria
Description: bacterial SSU rRNA
Rfam family: Bacterial small subunit ribosomal RNA
Source: RNAcentral
GAUGAACGCUAGCGGCAGGCCUAACACAUGCAAGUCGAGGGGCAUCGCGGUGCAGCAAUGCACUGGCGGCGACCGGCGUACGGGUGCGUAACGCGUAUGCAACCUGCCCCGCACCGGGGGAUAGCCCGCCGAAAGGCGGAUUAAUACCCCAUGGUCCCGGGGGCCCGCAUGGGCAUCCGGGUAAAGCCUUGGCGGUGCGGGAUGGGCAUGCGUGCCAUUAGCUGGCUGGUGGGGUAACGGCCCACCAGGGCAACGAUGGCUAGGGGGGUCUGAGAGGAUGGUCCCCCACACUGGUACUGAGACACGGACCAGACUCCUACGGGAGGCAGCAGUGGGGAAUUUUGGACAAUGGGCGCAAGCCUGAUCCAGCCAUGCCGCGUGUGGGAAGAAGGCCUUCGGGUUGUAAACCACUUUUGUCAGGGAAGAACGGUUUGACUUAAUACGUUGAACUAAUGACGGUACCUAGAAGAAUAAGCACCGGCUAACUACGUGCCAGCAGCCGCGGUAUCACUACUACG